AUUGAACGCUGGCGGCAGGCCUAACACAUGCAAGUCGAACGGUAACAGGAAACAGCUUGCUGUUUCGCUGACGAGUGGCGGACGGGUGAGUCAUGUCUGGGAAACUGUCUGAUGGAGGGGGACAACUACUGGCAACGGUAGCUACUACCGCAUAACGUCGCAUGACCAAAGAGGGGGACCCUCGGGCCUCUUGUCAUCGGAUGCGCCCAGCUGGGAUUCGCUUGUUGGUGGGGUAACGGCUCGCCAAGGCGACGAUCCCUCGCUCGUCUGAGAGGAUGACCAGCCACACUGGAGGUGAGACACGGACCAGAGGCCUACGAGAGGCAGCAGUGGGGAAUAGGGCACAAUGGGCGCGAGCCUGAUGCAGCCAUGGCGCGUGUAUGAAGAAGGCGUUCGGGUUGGAAAGUACUUUCAGCGGGGAGAAAGGGAGUAAAGUUAAUACCUUUGCUCAUUGACGUUACCCGCAGAAGAAGCACCGGCUAACUCCGUG
RNAcentral lists this ribosomal RNA (490 nucleotides) under uncultured bacterium. RNAcentral's name for it is "partial 16S ribosomal RNA". It matches the Rfam family "Bacterial small subunit ribosomal RNA", at positions 30 to 507 of the family's 1533-position model. The record is from RNAcentral.